UACGGAGGGGACUAGCGUUGUUCGGAAUUACUGGGCGUAAAGCGCACGUAGGCGGAUUUGUAAGUCAGGGGUGAAAUCCCGGGGCUCAACCUCGGAACUGCCUUUGAUACUGCAAAUCUCGAGUCCGGAAGAGGUGAGUGGAAUUCCUAGUGUGGAGGUGAAAUUCGUAGAUAUUAGGAAGAACACCAGUGGCGAAGGCGGCUCACUGGUCCGGUACUGACGCUGAGGUGCGAAAGCGUGGGGAGCAAACAGG
Molecule: ribosomal RNA, 253 nt
Filed under: uncultured bacterium
Lineage: Bacteria
Description: partial 16S ribosomal RNA
Rfam family: Bacterial small subunit ribosomal RNA
Source: RNAcentral